UGUAUUCUCUGCAAGAGCACCCACUCAGCACCCACUGCCGCUCGGCACUUCUCAUGAAUGCUCACAGCAACACCGUGUAGGAGAUCAAAAGGAAGUCCAGAGCUCCACCCACUGCCAAGGGCACCCAGCAAGCUCUGCUCCACCCUGGAAGGCUGGACGGCCCUUUCUCCUCCGACCUGGGCACGGCUGCUCUAAACCAGUUCUACCCGCUGGCUGCCUCGGGCCCUGCUCUUCAAGGACAAACACCCAAGCAUCAAGCCUGAGCUGCUCAGACCAAGGUUUGACAUGAGAAGAAGGCGGACUUGGGUCCCAGCCAUUCCAGGGCCAAUCACUUCACUCUCUGUCAUCUGGACCAGUCAAGAAUUCCUACACAUCCCUGGUUACUGAUCUCAGAUGGAAAGAAUUUCUGCCUGACCACCUCCCAGGAGCAAAGUGUAUAGCGAACGUUAUUUCCAAAAGGACAAGGAGGGAAGGGGCUCCAGAGAGCAUCUAGAUGCAGCCCACAGGGUUUCAUUCUCGCCUACAAGAGUAGAAAACUGAAGACACCUGUUUCCGCCAGAAAAUCCAGGCCAUUCACAGGUCAGCUGCUGCAAAACCAAACCAGGGUUAUUGCGGCCACCCCAGCAUCUGACUGACGGCUAGUGAGGAAUCUCAUUCAGGUACGUCAACUCAACCGAUUAUUGUUGAUGCACGUUCCCAGCCGGUUUGUCUCAGGAGCACCAGAAAGUCAAAUAGCUCCAGACCGUACAAGGAGCCUUCCUCAAGUGCUAUCUGCUCUUUCUUCCUAUGGGAUCUCUAAAGGGCCUGCCUCCUUGCACAAAAGGACAGAGACUAAAGUUUUUCCACUAGUGAUGAAUAUCCAGGGAGGAGGCUAUCACUAGCAUUUGGCGAUGUUAAUAUAAACAGCCCAUGAGACUUCUACCAACCUCAGUCGUGAGGACCCUCUUCUGAGUAUCUGAGUUCCAUUCUCUUGGGCCAGCACUAUGAAGAGCAUGACUGAUUGUGUUACACUCUUUGCCAUGGCUGCUAGGAAGCUCAGAGUUCCCCUCCUCACGUCCAUGGUGCACUUGAAAUUGUGAGCUUGCCUGGCUCUCCCUUAUUUUUUCAGUCGCUACUUGCCCUUCUGUUACUUUCUUAUCUGUUUAUUUAAAAUGUCACAUCAUAGUAACAAGAUAAAGUGCUUGUCACCUCCUGUGUGUUGUGAUCUCACAGGAGUCACCUAACUUCUCUGUCUUCUGUUUCUGCAUCUGUAAAGUGGGGAUAAUAGCAGAGCCAUCCUCACAGUGAGGAUCCCAUGAGUUAAUAAAGGCCUGGCACACAGUUAGCACUCAAUCGACAUUAGUGAUUCUUUUUAUUAUUGUUGUUUAUGGGAGCCCACUUAAGUCCUUUGAAGAAUACAUAAUUUUCCCAUCACCGUCAUGAUAGCCCUCCAGGGUGCCCCCUCCCCAGACCUGAGCCCACCCCAGGGAGGCUGUGGGCUUGGCCAGCCUCCCCACACCCCUGACUGGACAGGAGGCUCCUGAGUGUGCCUCAAUAGUGCCGCUACUGCUCCGUCCACUGCGCAGGGC
Molecule: long non-coding RNA, 1568 nt
Organism: Manis javanica (Malayan pangolin)
Lineage: Eukaryota; Metazoa; Chordata; Mammalia; Pholidota; Manidae
Source: RefSeq, a predicted model, not a curated record